This 250-nucleotide ribosomal RNA is filed under the name uncultured prokaryote. RNAcentral's name for it is "partial 16S ribosomal RNA". It matches the Rfam family "Bacterial small subunit ribosomal RNA", at positions 524 to 773 of the family's 1533-position model. The record is from RNAcentral.
UACAGAGGUGGCGAGCGUUGUUCGGAUUUACUGGGCGUAAAGGGCGCGUAGGAGGCUUGGUGUGUCGACCGUGAAAUCUCCGGGCUCAACCCGGAAAGUGCGGUCGAAACUGCCGAGCUCGAGCGGGGGAUGGGAAAGCGGAACUCAGGGUGUAGCGGUGAAAUGCGUUGAUAUCCUGAAGAACACCGGUGGCGAAGGCGGCUUUCUGGAACCCGACUGACUCUGAGGCGCGAAAGUGGGGGGAGCAAAC